AUUUGAGAAGCUAGCACAGCAUUAACCUUUUAAGUUAAAAACCGGGAACCAAAUUUCCCCUCAAUGA
This 67-nucleotide transfer RNA is filed under the name Bradypus variegatus (Brown-throated sloth). RNAcentral describes it as "tRNA-Lys". The record is from RNAcentral. Lineage: Eukaryota; Metazoa; Chordata; Mammalia; Pilosa; Bradypodidae.